RNAcentral lists this long non-coding RNA (4050 nucleotides) under Homo sapiens (human). RNAcentral describes it as "HSALNT0127644". The record is from RNAcentral. Lineage: Eukaryota; Metazoa; Chordata; Mammalia; Primates; Hominidae.
GGGAGGAAGGAAGGAAGGAAGAACUUUGAACUUUCUUUUAGAAACUCAGUUUCUAAGGCUUGAGGGUUCACAGGGAAUUUUUAGGAGUACAAUUAUAGGAGGACAAUUAUUAGGAGUAAAAUAUAGAAUACCCAUUUACAAGUUCCACCAAAAGAAAAGCUUGCACAAUUUUUGAUAACAAUAAGUGGCCAAGUGCAGUAGCUCAUGCCUGCAAACCCAGCGCUUUGAGAGGCUAAGGCAGGAAGAUGGCCUGAGGCCAGGAGUUUGAAAACAGCCUAGGCAACAUAGCGAGAUCCCUAUUUUAAGAGAAAAGAAAGGAAAAGAAAAGAAAGGAAAAGAAAAGAAAAGAAAAGAAAAGAAAAGAAAAGAACAGGACAGGAGAGGAGGGGAGGGGAGGGAAGGGAAGGGAAGGGGAGAGAAAGGGAAGGGAAGAUAAGAAAAGAAAAGGAAAGAAAACAAAAGGAAAGAUAAGAAAAGAAAAGAAAAAGCUAGUCAUGGUGGCACAAGCCUAUAGUCCUAGCUACUUAGAAGGCUAAAGCUGGAGGAUUGCUUGAGCACAGGAGUUCCAGGUCACAGUAAGCCAGUAUACUCUAGCCUAGAUGACAGUGUGAGAUCCUGUCUAAAAAAAAAAAAAAAAAAAAAAGUAAGUGUGAUAAUUAUUAUGUGACUGUGAUAAAGAAGAAAAAAAUGAUUAUUGAGUGGUGGUGUUAAUUUUUAGUAAAUAAUGGUUAGCUCCAUUCUUCAUCACAAUGACUAAAAAGAAAAAUGAAGCAAUGGUUGAAAACAUCAAGCUUUUCCAAGCCAUUUUCCCUUCUUCAAUAGCUAAAAGGCCACAGAGAAUUGCUAAAGAAAGUUUUGGAACCAUGCUGACUUGAUUUUACUCAGACUUCUUCAUUUCAAGCAAAGGAAGCAGAUUCUGGCUCUUUCACCAGAGAAGAGGCUUAGUAAGCAGAUAUCAGGAGCUCACAGGUUUGUUGUGAAAAGAACAAGAUUCCAGGACAAAGCUCAAGACCUAGCUUCCAGGAGCAUGCUUUGAAUGGCCGAACUGGCCUCCCAGGAAAACUUUUCAUCAUAAAUGUCACUGAGCAGUAGAUUCUACAGCUUGCCUUACAGAAGCCAAAUAUUUGACUUUGCUACAAACUCAACUACUGCCUGAGUCUUGCUGCUUAUGAUUGUCUCACAACCACCACUGGCUGGUAAAGCCAAAUGGCUCUGGCACCAUUCUUGCUGCAAGGUGGACUUUGAGUGCUUGUCCAUCCUCAUGUGGCUCCCUUCCGAACCAAAAUCUCACUCCAGCUCAUAUGACUGGUGGGGCCUUUGAAAUAUUAGCAAUAUUUUCUACGUGGAUAAUAGGAUGGAUACUUACAGCUGGUAAAUAAUAAGACAGGUUUCAAAAUACCUGAGAGAGGUGAAGAAGUGACCAGGAAGUUAGUAGAAUAUAGUGGUUUUAAAAAAUAUAGAAAGGUGAGCUGGUUAUAUGUCAUUUACUUCAAAGGAAAGAUUUAAAAAUGGUGGACAAAUGCCAAAAGCAUCCUAUCUUUGUAAUAUGUUGGAUAGGAGCCAAGAAGUAAUCAACAUUUUGAGAUGCAGUACAAGAGAGGAAAUGGCCUUAAAGAAAGAUCGGAGUUCAGUGGAGCCCAAAAAGUGAAGGGAGGUGCAGAAAGAAACAAGUUAUUUAAAUAAUUUGUGGGCCAUAGGAGAGUUUGUUUUUGAUGGGGCAGAGAUUGUUAAAAAAUAAUUGAAUGAUAUUAAAUAGAAAUAUAUAUGCAAAAAUGUCCUCAUCAUUUUUUUCUAUGGUUGUCCACUGAAAUAUUCAAAUAUUUUUAAAUGUAUGAAGCUGACAUUUGAGACAGUGUCAUGCAUGGGAUGAUGCCUAAAGUUGCUCUCCAAAGCAAAGAGACAAAUAAUGGAAUUUUCUUUUCAUUGUUGUUGAAGAGUAUGUCUCAAAAUUGUAGCAUUCAGUAGUUUGUUUCUUUAUAAAAAUUACAACAUUUUCAUUUUAAUGAAUUUACUAAAACUUGAUUAAAAAAAGAACAAAAUUCAACACAAUAUAAAUUUUUACAAUAGAUGUCUUUUAUCGCUAAAAGACUAUUUUAACUUCAGCAAAAAAGAAAUUGUAGAAGAUUUUAGGGAAAAGCCAAUAUGACCUUAGAGGAAUUUGCACUCUUUGGGCUCCACACAUGUGCUGCAGUUAUCAGAGUUCCCUGACUCCAAGUGUUUAUUCAAAUCUGUCAGCUAAAUCAUAGAUCAAAAUGCAAAAUGUAACACUCAGGAACAUUACAUGGAUUUGUGACACUCCCUGGAGGACUUUGGGUCCAUAAAGCAAUGAAUGGAUUAUAAGAAGACAUAAAUAUGGUAUUUUCAUCUAUGACAGGUGCAAUCUUACUCCAAUGUUAUUUAUAUUAUAUAAAAGAAAACUGAACCUAUUUUCCUCAGUCCCUUAGGGAUGAAUAAGUGAAUAGCUCACCAUUAAUUUCCAGUUUCUAUGAAUUCACCUUUGAAAAUGUCAUGUUUUCGAGUUUUUUCAACUGGCCAAUGUUUAUUUAUUUUUACAUGUGUUUACUUAUUUUAUAUUUAUUUAACAAUGAAACCAAAAGGAAAAUGGGAGAUGAAAUUGUGAUAACACAAUAAUAUUUUUUUCUUUUUUUGCCAUGAUCCUAAAUCAUGCAAAAUUUACUCAACUUUGAAUUUUAAUGACCAAUUGGGCACCCAGACUAGCUUCCCAUAAAUCCUGCUCUCAGUCUUUUAACAUCUUUUGCAUCCUCAUCCUUACUUCCUGUUAGUUAGGUGGGUUAUAUGGCGUUCUGGAAAAAGCAUGGGUCUUGAAUUUAGAGGAGGAGUACGCUAGUAUUUACUCCACCUAGCUUGUAUCUUUAUAAACGUGCAGAACUAAAAUUUAACCAUGAGAUUCCUUAAGCUUCUCCAGCUUCAGAAUGUUAUAUUUUGGUCCAGUCAAAAUCUAUGAUUUUUUAAAAUGGUUUUAGCCUCACAAUUUUGAAAAAGAAUCAUGAAGUCAUCAGUAAAAAAGCAGGAGUUUAGCCACAAUAUAAAAUGCCAUUUUCACACUGUAUUAAACUUGGGCCAGUGAAGAAACUGCUGAGUUAGUUUUCUGUCUUGAAGGCUUAGCUGUUGUUUUCUUGUCCAAAAUAGAAAGAAGAUGGAUACUUUAAUUACUUAGGUUAACUACCGCUUAGCUAGAACUUUUGCUUUAUAGGUAACCAAGAGAUUUAUAAGAAUACAUCUUUCAAUAUUAUGGUAAUGAAUGGCAAAAUACUAAUUAGGUAGGAUUAGAAAACAAUUUAAUAUUCUUAUUGCAAAAAUCGGAACCAAUCAGAAUCAUGAUGUUUUACUAUGUGAAAUUGUUUGGCUUCCAAUAAUUAUCCAGUGACAGGUGGCAGCCAUAUUGUGAAUCUCUUAAGCAUUGGUAAAAAAAAAAAAUUAAAAGGUACUUAAAUAAUAAUUAAAAUACUAAAAUAUAACUAUUUAUUUAAUUUUAUCUGCCCUGCUCCCACCCCAGCUCAUUUAACUUAAAAACUCUGUUCUGAAGAAAACUACAAGGAUUUGUCCACAAGGGAUAAAAUAAUCCUCAAUUAAAUUCAAUUCAGCAAAUAGUUAUUGAAUCUCUUUUCAUGUUAUUGAACUUAUGUUCUUUAAUUUCUCCUAUCUUAUUGAAAAAGAAAAUGAUAAUACAUACAAAUAGAAAAUAUUUUAAUUUUAGGUUGUUGCAAAAGUGUUUGCGGUUUUUGCAAUUUCUUUUCAUCAAACCUAAUAAAUUUGGUAAAACAAAUUUUACUUUAUUUUUUAAAAUUGUGUCAAUUUUCAAAAAUAAAUUUCCUGUGAUGUUUUCUGAUUUGUGAUUUUAACCAAUGAAAUGGUCAGUGUGAAAUAUUUUUGUUGUUGUCAUCACUUCAAAGUAAUGAAAACACUUUAGAUUGUUCAACUGUAUAGAAGGUUUGCCUUCACACAAUUUUAUAAAUUGUUGAUUGUGUGUCUCUCUAAGUUUUCUCUAAUACAUGCAAAAUAAUGUUGUAAGUAAAAUGAAUGGCUGAC